CAAUAGCGUAUAUUAACGUUGUUGCAGUUAAAAAGCUCGUAGUUGGAUUUCUGGAGGGAGCGUCGGCCCGUAUUUACGAGUGCGUGACGUCUCUGUCCAUCCUUGCGGGAAGGCACGGCAUUGAUUUGUUGUGUGGGAUCGCAUCAUUUACUGUGAAAAAAUUAGAGUGUUCAAAGCAGGCUUUCGCUUGAAUACAUUAGCAUGGAAUAAUAAGAUAGGACUUUGGUGCUAUUUUGUUGGUUGAGCCUAAAGUAAUGAUUAAUAGGGAUAGUUGGGGGCACCUGUAUUGCGUUGUCAGAGGUGAAAUUCUUGGAUUUACGCAAGACAAACAGCUGCGAAAGCGUCUGCCAAGGAUGUUUUCAUUAA
This 366-nucleotide ribosomal RNA is filed under the name uncultured eukaryote. RNAcentral's name for it is "partial 18S ribosomal RNA". It matches the Rfam family "Eukaryotic small subunit ribosomal RNA", at positions 592 to 976 of the family's 1831-position model. The record is from RNAcentral.